This 426-nucleotide long non-coding RNA is filed under the name Elaeis guineensis (African oil palm). RNAcentral's name for it is "long non-coding RNA (EGUI_LNC034023)". Lineage: Eukaryota; Viridiplantae; Streptophyta; Magnoliopsida; Arecales; Arecaceae. The record is from RNAcentral.
CGGCCUCGGUGCCUUCCGCACCUCUUGAAGGAAAUAAUCUGAUUUAGGGUCAGAUCAUCAAGGAGCAUAUAAAAAUUUUUCUAUAAUAAUCUAACAUAAAUUUUAUCUUUUACCUGCUAUGUAAUAGAAUAAGAAUCAAAAAUCUCUUGGAUUUUCUUGAUUCGAAGCCUUGCAAGGCCUGGAUGUGCAGACCCUCUACUUCGCAUGUACGCUAAGCUUCGUAGGAAAGAAGGAUGAAGCCUCAGAUCGUCAUGCCUUCUCAAGAUAGCAAGGGAGGGAGGAUGAAGACCUUUGGUGUGAUGUCCCACACCUAGAUUUGAGAUGCCUGGAGCUCUUCAUGCGAGGAGAAGAUCAGCCCCAAAAUCAGCACACCAAGGAGAAGGACGGCCUUCCUUCUCUUGGACGCGCACACCUCUUUUCUCUCAC